Molecule: ribosomal RNA, 497 nt
Filed under: uncultured bacterium
Lineage: Bacteria
Description: partial 16S ribosomal RNA
Rfam family: Bacterial small subunit ribosomal RNA
Source: RNAcentral
GAUGAACGCUGGCGGCGUGCCUAAUACAUGCAAGUCGAGCGAACAGAUGAGGAGCUUGCUCCUCUGACGUUAGCGGCGGACGGGUGAGUAACACGUGGAUAACCUACCUAUAAGACUGGGAUAACUUCGGGAAACCGGAGCUAAUACCGGAUAAUAUAUUGAACCGCAUGGUUCAAUAGUGAAAGACGGUUUUGCUGUCACUUAUAGAUGGAUCCGCGCCGCAUUAGCUAGUUGGUAAGGUAACGGCUUACCAAGGCAACGAUGCGUAGCCGACCUGAGAGGGGGGUCGGCCACACUGGAGCUGAGCCACGGUCCAGGCGCCUACGGGAGGCAGCAGUAGGGAAUCUUCCGCAGUGGGCGAAAGCCUGGCGGAGCAGCGCCGCGUGAGUGAUGAAGGUCUUCGGAUCGUAAAGCUCUGUUAUUAGGGAAGAACAAAUGUGUAAGUAACUAUGCACGUCUUGACGGUACCUGAUCAGAAAGCCACGGCUAACUACGUG